GGAGGAAAGCAGGGGAUCGAAAGACCUUGUGCUUUUAGAGCGGCCGAUGCCUGAUUAGCUAGUUGGUGAGGUAAAGGCUUACUAAGGCGACGAUCAGUAGCUGGUAUGAGAGGACGACCAGCCACACUGGGACUGAGACACGGCCCAGACUCCUACGGGAGGCAGCAGUGGGGAAUUUUGGACAAUGGGCGCAAGCCUGAUCCAGCCAUGCCGCGUGAGUGAAGAAGGCCUUCGGGUUGUAAAGCUCUUUCGGUCGGGAAGAAAUAGUUAUGGCUAAUAUCCAUAACGAAUGACGGUACCGACAUAAGAAGCACCGGCUAACUACGUGCCAGCAGCCGCGGUAAUACGUAGGGUGCAAGCGUUAAUCGGAAUUAUUGGGCGUAAAGGGUGCGCAGGCGGAUGUAUAAGUCAGAUGUGGAAUCCCCGGGCUUAACCUGGGAAUUGCGUUUGAUCAACGAGGCUAGAAGGGC
RNAcentral lists this ribosomal RNA (470 nucleotides) under uncultured beta proteobacterium. RNAcentral describes it as "bacterial SSU rRNA". It matches the Rfam family "Bacterial small subunit ribosomal RNA", at positions 198 to 650 of the family's 1533-position model. The record is from RNAcentral. Lineage: Bacteria; Pseudomonadati; Pseudomonadota; Betaproteobacteria.